RNAcentral lists this ribosomal RNA (690 nucleotides) under uncultured bacterium. Its description in RNAcentral is "bacterial SSU rRNA". It matches the Rfam family "Bacterial small subunit ribosomal RNA", at positions 97 to 765 of the family's 1533-position model. The record is from RNAcentral.
GGCGCACGGGUGAGUAACGCGUGGAUAAUCUGCCUUUUAGUUGGGAAUAACGUACCGAAAGGUGCGCUAAUACCGGAUAAUACUGAGUGACUACUGUUGCUUAGUCAAAGAAGGCCUCUGUUUACAAGCUUUUGCUGAAAGAUGAGUCCGCGUACCAUUAGCUAGUUGGUAGGGUAAUGGCCUACCAAGGCUACGAUGGUUAGCUGGUCUGAGAGGAUGAUCAGCCACACUGGAACUGAGACACGGUCCAGACUCCUACGGGAGGCAGCAGUGAGGAAUAUUGCGCAAUGGGGGCAACCCUGACGCAGCAACGCCGCGUGAGUGAGGAAGGUUUUCGGAUCGUAAAGCUCUGUCGAGUGGGAAGAAAUGUAUCAUGGCUAAUAUCCAUGGUAUUUGACGGUACCGCUAAAGGAAGCACCGGCUAACUCCGUGCCAGCAGCCGCGGUAAUACGGGGGGUGCAAGCGUUGUUCGGAAUUAUUGGGCGUAAAGAGCGUGUAGGCGGCUGAAUAAGUCAGAUGUGAAAUCCCUGGGCUUAACUCAGGAAGUGCAUUUGAAACUAUUCAGCUUGAGUAGGGGAGAGGAAAGUGGAAUUCCUGGUGUAGAGGUGAAAUUCGUAGAUAUCAGGAGGAACACCGGUGGCGAAGGCGACUUUCUGGCCCUAUACUGACGCUGAGACGCGAGAGCGUGGG